AUGCUCAUGAAGCGGUGUGAGAAGAUGGACAGCUGGAUAGGGUCCAGUUGGGUGCCCAUUGUGCCAGGGACUUCGGCCCCCACAGAGAUGCGGAUGUCCCCUGUCUCGGUCACCUCUGCCUGGCAACCUGGCUCCACCAGGAUGGUGCUAGGGAGCAGAGGGCACAGAGGGUCUGCAUGGAGCCAGACGACACCCCUCCAACCAGAGAUGCCACAGCCCCAGGCCAGGGGACACCCCAACGAUGGUAGGAUACAGAGUCCUGCAGGCCCCUGCAGCCUUGGGCCAGAGAACCCUGCACCAGGGGCCCCAUGGUUGACCCCUCCAUAUCCUCCACCCUGGUUGGACCUCAGCCCACCUGUUACUGUCGAUGAUGAGGCAGGGCCCAUGGAGCUUGUGCCCAUAGCCCAGCUCUCCCAGCAGGUACACAGGGGUCUCCUGGUAGCCCCCCUCAAAGUAGCACUGGGUCAUCUGCAGAGGGUGUGGGUGAGUGCAGCACCCGGGCCCAGCACCCUCCCCGAUGCCUCUCACAGGGCUUGGUCCCCAUCCCAGUGCCCCAUGGGUGCUGUCAGGCUGGUACGGGCAGGACCACCAACCUUGUCCACCCGGGGAGGCCCGGUCUGGGCUUUGGGGGCAUCCUCGAGGCGAAGACCACUGCGGCCAGUGCCCCUCACUCGCACAUCGUCCACGACCACUGGCCGCUCAGGGAUGACAAAGCCAAACUCCCUCAUGUACCUGCACUCCCCACGGGGCCCAAGGAGUAGUCAACGUGAGGUGGCCAGACAGGAAGGCCCUUUGCCAGGGAUCCGGAGUUGGCAAACUCACGUACCGCUCCACGAAGGCUGCCCCGAAGUCCCCCGCACGGGGCGAGCGGGCUGUGGCUGGGUGCUGGUGGGCAGACACCAUCAGGGCACAGUCGGUGCCCCGGUAGCGCAGGUGCAGGAAGCUCUCAGUGCUGAUCUGGGACCUGCAGCAGGUGGUUGGGGACACUCACACCAAACCCCCUGCCCUGCCCCCCACCCCACCCAGCGCCCGGCAAGGACACCUGUUCUGUUUCUCGCGCACCCCGGGACCACCUGGGAAGUCAUCAGGCAGAAAACCCACCAAGGGGGACAACGUAAGCCCUCUGUCCAGGGCACCCUGGGAGCCCACCUGGGGAAGCCCUGGGCCUGCAGGGCGUCCACACACUGCUCCUCCAGGCGGCUCAGCCUCUGGUCCAGCUGCAUGAAGGUCUCAGGCGCGUAG
This 1242-nucleotide long non-coding RNA is filed under the name Macaca fascicularis (crab-eating macaque). RNAcentral describes it as "lncRNA (ENSMFAG00000051926.1)". The record is from RNAcentral. Lineage: Eukaryota; Metazoa; Chordata; Mammalia; Primates; Cercopithecidae.